GGGAAUUCCUUUCAGUCUGUGUAUUGUCCUUUGCCAGACAUAUUAUAAACAAUAGAUAUUCUAUAGGUAGAUCUGUUUUCAAGCUUUUUCAUGGAUAUGGAUCUUUUCCAUCCUCUGAACUUCUUUUUCUUUAAGGGUUAUAACCGCUCAGUGAAGAAGUGGCCAUGGUGAGAUCUGAAUAGAUUUAAUUUCUCAACUAAGGGAGAGAUUAUCUUUCUGUAAUUCUUUGGAAAAGUCACAGACUCUCCUUCCCCCUUCUGACUUCCGACGUUCCUUUUUGGUCAACAAAACCCCCACCUCUCUUUGUGUGAGUUUUUCAAGGCAGAUCUAUCACAUACACAGCUCAAAAUGAAUGAUGAAAAUUGAUGCAUAGAUACACUAUGGAAAAUCUUCAAUAGGCACCAGAAUUGUAUGACACUUCAAACACUGU
RNAcentral lists this long non-coding RNA (430 nucleotides) under Parus major (Great Tit). RNAcentral's name for it is "lncRNA (ENSPMJG00000008249.1)". The record is from RNAcentral. Lineage: Eukaryota; Metazoa; Chordata; Aves; Passeriformes; Paridae.